RNAcentral lists this ribosomal RNA (253 nucleotides) under uncultured bacterium. RNAcentral describes it as "partial 16S ribosomal RNA". It matches the Rfam family "Bacterial small subunit ribosomal RNA", at positions 524 to 776 of the family's 1533-position model. The record is from RNAcentral.
UACGUAGGGGGCUAGCGUUGUCCGGAAUCAUUGGGCGUAAAGGGCUCGUAGGUGGCCAACUAAGUCGGACGUGAAAUCCCUCGGCUUAACCGGGGAACUGCGUCCGAUACUGGUUGGCUUGAGUUUGGGAGAGGGAUGCGGAAUUCCAGGUGUAGCGGUGAAAUGCGUAGAUAUCUGGAGGAACACCGGUGGCGAAGGCGGCAUCCUGGACCAAUACUGACGCUGAGGAGCGAAAGCCAGGGGAGCAAACGGG